Eptesicus fuscus (big brown bat) is the source of this 474-nucleotide long non-coding RNA. RefSeq lists it as uncharacterized. The record is from RefSeq and is a predicted model, not a curated record. The transcript is spliced from 3 exons. NCBI's taxonomy places the organism in Eukaryota, Metazoa, Chordata, Mammalia, Chiroptera, Vespertilionidae.
GGUGAGCGGCUCUCUCAGCCCUCCCUCGGCCUCCAUCUGCUCCUGGCGCAGACCCAGGGCCACGGGCUGGGCCAGGUGGCCGUGUGCCUUCCCAGGUGGCCCUGGCAGGCGUGGAGGCCAGGGUGCUCCUGACACUCAUCUGUUGGCCUGGGACUGUACUCAGCAGGGGCCACCCCAAAUCCCCUUUCAAAUGAACCUAAAUCUCCGUCACCGAGGGCAGUCCCCAGCCCAACACGGAGCGCUCAGCCUGAGGAGAGAGGAGCUCUGUGCUGACCCUAAGCGGGUCCUUCACUAGUUGUAUCACCUUGGGGGUUUACGGGCUUGACCUCCUGAAGUCAAGGGAUCUAUGGACUCCAGCUGAAGAAAUGGGAGAAGAAUCCAGCCAGGACCCCUCCUCCUCCGAAGACCAGCCUGGGCUGAUCCGACUUCUGUGCCAGAGCCCGCCCAGCUUUCCCCUGGGUCUCUAAAGCCAGU